GAGUCUUGGAGCUUACUUGUUAGGUAAUCUUUAAAAAUGUUAUUUGUAUUUUUACUUUUUGGAUUCUUUGAGAGAGCACUUGUGACCUGUGGGGGAGGUUCUAAAGCCUCAACCCAUAGCUUCCCUUUCCACCCUUUGUAGUUUGUGGGGUGUACAUAUAGGCAGUAAAAUGUGCUAAGAAGAACCCAUCUGCAUUGUUCUUUAGAGAUAUCUGAACCCUACAGACCCCAGCAAGAGGGCAAGAUUCUGUUGCACAAAGUGGGCAAAACCAGGUGAACUGCCCCCUGCCACCAAUAGAAAGUCAGCUCCCCCAGGCUUCUCUCUGGCUGGUUUUGUUACUUUCUCCUACCUUGGCAGCUGAAAUGGAGGCAGCCCUUGGCUGUAACAUCCAUGGUUGAUGGCCUGGCUGUGUGGUCCUGCCUCGCGGCUGCGUGGAACUGAAUGUGUGGACAGGGAUGUGCAUAAUCAUCCUGGGUGGAACCCCAGGGUCCCAGUGCUGGACCCUGGGGUCCUAGAGCUGCUCCUACCUGGUAUGGAUAUCCUGCUCUCCACCUGGGCCUAGGACUCCCAACUAUAAGUCAUAAGCCAUGGCAGGGUCUCAGAGAACAAGGGAAUUAGAAGGAAGGACUUUAGGGGUCAGGCCAAACCCACAAUUGGAGAAGCUGACUAAGGUCAGACAGAGAGGCAGUUGCAAGACUAAGAUUACAACCGAGGCCCUGCCCUACUCACACUAUGGGUUAAUGUUGCCAAUUUAGCCAUAGGGAGGGCCUGACUUCCGGCAAACUCCUGGCUUGCAGUGCUGAGCAGCAGGGCUGAGCAGUAAUUAGUGGAGAUGACCACUAGGUGUCACUGUCGCACCAUUAUCUGCGGCUGCACAGUGGCCAGAUUUUUUUUUUUUUUUUUUUUUUUUUUUUUUUUUUUUUUUUUUUAACCUCCCCAAAACAUGUGAACGCUGGCUUAACCGCCAACCUCAGGUAGGUGAAAGGGGUUUUUAAUUUUCAUUGUCACAAGCAUCAUAAAAGAAGCAGCAACUCCCAGGCUAAAGAAGGGGAGGACUGUUUUGACUUACUGCCCCAGAGAGCAUGGGUCUCAGCAGAGCUGCUGUUGCUGAAUUGGAGGGGCUUUUUUCUGGCUGUUAAUUGCUGCCCCUCGCUGAUGAUUGCGGAGUAGAAUCUGUUAGGACGUGGAUCUCCAAGUCUGUGACAUGGAAGGAACCUUAGAAAUCUGCAAGUCCAGCCCCUUCAUUUUUGGAGAAGGAAGCCCAGAAGAGAAGGCCAUUUCCCUAAGGCACACAGCUUGAUGGAGGCAGAACCGGGACUUGAACCUUAGACUCCAGAGUUCUCACCCAGUGCUCUGUUCUCACCCAGUGCUCUGUCCACUCCCCCGUGGUGCGUAUCUUUACACCACAUGUGCUCAUUCAUUCACUCCCUUAACAUCUAUUGAGCACUUACUCCAGGCUCAAUACAUGGGUAGUGAAGUUGCAAUGGCUCUAACAGAGGCGAAAUUGAUUUUAUUUGUCAGGCUGCGAAAUGGGAGAACUGGGCUCUAGGAAAGCCCUUUAGGCGUAAGCCAUGGCAGAGUCUCAGAGAACAAGGGAGUUAGAAGGAAAGAAUUUAGGGGCCAGGCAAAACCCCCAACUGGAGAAUCUGACUAAUGUCAGACAGAGGCAGUUGCAAGACUGAGAAUAUAACCUAGGCCCUGCCCUACUCACACUGUGGGUUAAUGUUGCCAAUUUAGCCAUAGGGAGGGCCUGACUUUGUGGUUGAAUGGAAAUGGAAACUCUUAAAGAGGCAAGAUGACGUGGCAUGUCAGUGACCAGAGAUCACAAGUGGGGCCAGUUUCCUUCCUUUUGGUCCAGAGUACUUGUCAAGCUCAUCCAAUCUUUAUGCAAACAACAGCAAAAGUGAGACUAGGAUUCAGACCAAGAUGAAGUCAGGUGAAGAUGAUGGAGCUGUGGCAGCUUGGAUGGUGCAUGCUCCUGCUGGGCUGCCUGGAUGCUCCACCUUCUGUGGCCCACACUGGAUACUGAUUGAAUGGGCAGGAAUCUUUGGACCUUGGAGGAUUUGAAGCUGCA
RNAcentral lists this long non-coding RNA (2074 nucleotides) under Homo sapiens (human). RNAcentral describes it as "non-protein coding lnc-LCLAT1-3:1". Lineage: Eukaryota; Metazoa; Chordata; Mammalia; Primates; Hominidae. The record is from RNAcentral.